UCCACUGAGCAUGAGUUGGGACCUACAGA
RNAcentral lists this non-coding RNA (29 nucleotides) under Rattus norvegicus (Norway rat). Lineage: Eukaryota; Metazoa; Chordata; Mammalia; Rodentia; Muridae. The record is from RNAcentral.